CGGCCAUACCUCUCUGGCUCCGCCUGAUCUCGUCUGAUCUCAGAAGCUAAGCAGAGUAGGGCCUGGUUAGUACUUGGAUGGAAGACCGCCUGGGAAUUCCAGGUGCCGUAAGCUUUUUCAUUUCUCUCUCUGGAAGAAAUUGAGAAGGCAUUAGAAAGUGAAUCCUUUUUCAUUAUCAAAACUCCAAAACCUUUGACACAUUUUAAAAGAUUAGGAAGAGGACAUACAGUUGCUUACGGCCAUACCUCUCUGGCUCCGCCUGAUCUCGUCUGAUCUCAGAAGCUAAGCAGAGUAGGGCCUGGUUAGUACUUGGAUGGAAGACCGCCUGGGAAUCCCAGGUGCCGUAAGCUUUUUCAUUUCUAUCUGUAAAAGACACAGAGAAGAACUUAGAAAGUGACUCCAUUUCAUUGUCAAAACUCCAAAACCUUUGACACAUUUUAAAAGAUUAGGAAGAGGACAUACAGUUGCUUACGGCCAUACCUCUCUGGCUCUGCCUGAUCUCGUCUGAUCUCAGAAGCUAAGCAGAGUAGGGCCUGGUUAGUACUUGGAUGGAAGACCGCCUGGGAAUCCCAGGUGCCGUAAGCUUUUUCAUUUCUCUCUCUGGAAGAAAUUGAGAAGGCAUUAGAAAGUGAAUCCUUUUUCAUUAUCAAAACUCCAAAACCUUUGACACAUUUUAAAAGAUUAGGAAGAGGACAUACAGUUGCUUACGGCCAUACCUCUCUGGCUCCGCCUGAUCUCGUCUGAUCUCAGAAGCUAAGCAGAGUAGGGCCUGGUUAGUACUUGGAUGGAAGACCGCCUGGGAAUCCCAGGUGCCGUAAGCUUUUUCAUUUCUAUCUGUAAAAGACACAGAGAAGAACUUAGAAAGUGACUCCAUUUCAUUGUCAAAACUACAAAACCUUUGACACAUUUUAAAAGAUUAGGAAGAGGACAUACAGUUGCUUACGGCCAUACCUCUCUGGCUCCGCCUGAUCUCGUCUGAUCUCAGAAGCUAAGCAGAGUAGGGCCUGGUUAGUACUUGGAUGGAAGACCGCCUGGGAAUCCCAGGUGCCGUAAGCUUUUUCAUUUCUCUCUCUGGAAGAAAUUGAGAAGGCAUUAGAAAGUGAAUCCUUUUUCAUUAUCAAAACUCCAAAACCUUUGACACAUUUUAAAAGAUUAGGAAGAGGACAUACAGUUGCUUACGGCCAUACCUC
Long non-coding RNA from Gasterosteus aculeatus aculeatus (three-spined stickleback), 1190 nucleotides. The record is from Ensembl. Lineage: Eukaryota; Metazoa; Chordata; Actinopteri; Perciformes; Gasterosteidae.